CAGCAAGAAAUGAAAGCCGUGAAUUCUACAGGUAUCUCAGAGUCUGGAAUUCUUUAGAAGGGGUUCACAUGAGACACCGAGGGACUGGUGGCUGCGAUCCUCAACGGUGUCAUUUUUAUACAGGAGCCAAAGAAAAACCUCGAGUGGAGACGAUGAGGUGGACAGGCACCAAGAUCACUGUGCAUGUGACUUUGCUGCACCGUCAGCGGACAAGAUCCAGUAUCUGAGCAGGGAGAGGAUGCGGACUCACUGCAGUUCCUCGGAAAACCCUCUCCUGUGCACAGUCUAAUGAGGCUAGCUCCGAAGCGACAUUUGAGAGGACAGUGAGCAGAGAAGGGUCAUGACCCCAGAUGGCCUCACGGCAGCCCCGACCAGAAACCUGAGGUGACUCCAGGCCACCAUGUUCCACGUUACUCGACACACACCUCCAACUCCUGCGUACCCCCAUCCAUGGCAGAGGGGCUGAAAGACUGAUAGCCUAUAUUAUUUACCAGAUUAUAAGAAACCACAGCUUCAAUUUAUUGUGUAUGAUCUGUAAUGCCAAAAACUGUUGUUUAUCCAGUAUAUCUGAUACAAAAUUUAAAUUGUUUUUUUGUUUGUUUGUUUGUUUGUUUUGGUACCGG
This is a long non-coding RNA of Heterocephalus glaber (naked mole-rat), 623 nucleotides long. NCBI's taxonomy places the organism in Eukaryota, Metazoa, Chordata, Mammalia, Rodentia, Bathyergidae. The record is from Ensembl.